This 670-nucleotide long non-coding RNA is filed under the name Salmo salar (Atlantic salmon). RNAcentral's name for it is "lncRNA (ENSSSAG00000121088.1)". Lineage: Eukaryota; Metazoa; Chordata; Actinopteri; Salmoniformes; Salmonidae. The record is from RNAcentral.
GGAGGGGCAUGGGGACAGAAACUGGUAAGGGUAUGAAGCUGCAGUGCUGUGGCUGGGGCAGCAGUGUGGGUUUGCCAGCCUUAUUUGAUUGUGAUUGUUGCUGAAGGGCCUCCACCAGCCUGAUCAAGCCUUUGUGUGCCAACGGUGUGUUCAGACUGCAGUGGAGGAUCAGGAUGCCACAUUCCACACAGGAGAAUCAAUCUGAAGGUGGAAACUAAGGAGUUAGGCUGGCUGAAGUAAUGUAAUGCAUCCCAUAUGUAGGCAUUCCUGCACUGCCUGUAGUGUCUGUCAGCGUCUCAUAUUCUGGACCUUGAAGUUGAUUCCUCGGCAGCCAGUUGCAUCCUGGGAAGGCUGUUCCAUGGGUCCAGGCUGGGAGUGAAUCUCAAAUGUAUUUUCUUGAUUCCUUGUGUCCUUUCUCCUUGAUUCCUUCUCCAAGUUCAUUGGGGAACAAGGUCUAAGGGGAGGAAAAUUUGACCAUUUCUUCCAAUGUGUUUUGAGAAGGAGCGAGGAGAGAGGACAGGGGCAAUCAAGGAAAUACAAUUGAGAUUCACCCAGGGGCUCUCCUCCUGUCCUGCGUCGCCCUGCUCUCAUUGGCAGACCGAUCGUCAGCUCCAGCAGCUGCGUCUCUGUCUAUCUGUCGGCCUCACCCUCGGCCCCUCGGGACAUUUAG